This 283-nucleotide ribosomal RNA is filed under the name Salmonella enterica. Its description in RNAcentral is "partial 23S ribosomal RNA". It matches the Rfam family "Bacterial large subunit ribosomal RNA", at positions 2660 to 2925 of the family's 2925-position model. The record is from RNAcentral. RNAcentral also lists the same sequence under 1 other name. Lineage: Bacteria; Pseudomonadati; Pseudomonadota; Gammaproteobacteria; Enterobacterales; Enterobacteriaceae.
GACUGAGGGGGGCUGCUCCUAGUACGAGAGGACCGGAGUGGACGCAUCACUGGUGUUCGGGUUGUCAUGCCAAUGGCACUGCCCGGUAGCUAAAUGCGGAAGAGAUAAGUGCUGAAAGCAUCUAAGCACGAAACUUGCCCCGAGAUGAGUCUUCCCUGAGACUUAGAGUCUCCUGAAGGAACGUUGAAGACGACGACGUUGAUAGGCCGGGUGUGUAAGCGCAGCGAUGCGUUGAGCUAACCGGUACUAAUGAACCGUGAGGCUUAACCUUACAACGCCGAAG